RNAcentral lists this ribosomal RNA (497 nucleotides) under uncultured bacterium. RNAcentral's name for it is "partial 16S ribosomal RNA". It matches the Rfam family "Bacterial small subunit ribosomal RNA", at positions 28 to 507 of the family's 1533-position model. The record is from RNAcentral.
GAUGAACGCUGGCGGCGUGCCUAAUACAUGCAAGUCGAGCGAACGGACGAGAAGCUUGCUUUUCUGAUGUUAGCGGCGGACGGGUGAGUAACACGUGGAUAACCUACCCAUAAGACUGGGAUAACUUCGGGAAACCGGAGCUAAUACCGGAUAAUAUUUUGAACCGCAUGGUUCAAAAGUGAAAGACGGUCUUGCUGUCACUUAUAGAUGGAUCCGCGCUGCAUUAGCUAGUUGGUAAGGUAACGGCUUACCAAGGCAACGAUGCAUAGCCGACCUGAGAGGGUGAUCGGCCACACUGGAACUGAGACACGGUCCAGACUCCUACGGGAGGCAGCAGUAGGGAAUCUUCCGCAAUGGGCGAAAGCCUGACGGAGCAGCGCCGCGUGAGUGGUGAAGGUCUUCGGAUCGUAAAACUCUGUUAUUAGGGAAGAACAUAUGUGUAAGUAACUGUGCACAUCUUGACGGUACCUAAUCAGAAAGCCACGGCUAACUACGUG